GACAGAGGGUGCGAACGUUGCUCGGAAUUACUGGGCGUAAAGCGCGUGUAGGCGGACUAGUAAGUCGGACGUGAAAUCCCUCGGCUCAACCGAGGAACUGCGUCCGAUACUGGUGGGCUUGAAUCCGGGAGAGGGAUGUGGAAUUCCAGGUGUAGCGGUGAAAUGCGUAGAUAUCUGGAGGAACACCGGUGGCGAAGGCGGCAUCCUGGACCGGUAUUGACGCUGAGGCGCGAAAGCUAGGGGAGCAAACGGG
Molecule: ribosomal RNA, 253 nt
Filed under: uncultured bacterium
Lineage: Bacteria
Description: partial 16S ribosomal RNA
Rfam family: Bacterial small subunit ribosomal RNA
Source: RNAcentral